UACGGGGGGGGCAAGCGUUGUUCGGAAUUACUGGGCGUAAAGGGCUCGUAGGUGGCCAACUAAGUCAGACGUGAAAUCCCUCGGCUUAACCGGGGAACUGCGUCUGAUACUGGAUGGCUUGAGUUUGGGAGAGGGACGCGGAAUUCCAGGUGUAGCGGUGAAAUGCGUAGAUAUCUGGAGGAACACCGGUGGCGAAGGCGGCGUCCUGGGCCUGCACUGACGCUCAUGCACGAAAGCGUGGGGAGCAAACAGG
RNAcentral lists this ribosomal RNA (253 nucleotides) under uncultured bacterium. RNAcentral describes it as "partial 16S ribosomal RNA". It matches the Rfam family "Bacterial small subunit ribosomal RNA", at positions 524 to 776 of the family's 1533-position model. The record is from RNAcentral.